Podarcis lilfordi (Lilford's wall lizard) is the source of this 69-nucleotide non-coding RNA. NCBI's taxonomy places the organism in Eukaryota, Metazoa, Chordata, Lepidosauria, Squamata, Lacertidae. The record is from the annotation of a GenBank genome assembly.
GGAUAGCUCAGAUGGUGGAACACGAGUCUCUAAAUCUCAGGGUUGUGGGUUCAAGCCCCACGUUGGGCA